Molecule: ribosomal RNA, 436 nt
Filed under: uncultured bacterium
Lineage: Bacteria
Description: bacterial SSU rRNA
Rfam family: Bacterial small subunit ribosomal RNA
Source: RNAcentral
UGAACGCGAAGAACCUUACCUGGGCUUGACAUGUAAUGAACAACAUGUGAAAGCAUGCGACUCUUCGGAGGCGUUACACAGGUGCUGCAUGGCCGUCGUCAGCUCGUGUCGUGAGAUGUUUGGUUAAGUCCAGCAACGAGCGCAACCCCUGUUGCCAGUUACCAGCACGUGAAGGUGGGGACUCUGGCGAGACUGCCCAGAUCAACUGGGAGGAAGGUGGGGACGACGUCAGGUCAGUAUGGCCCUUAUGCCCAGGGCUGCACACGUACUACAAUGCCCAGUACAGAGGGGGCCGAAGCCGCGAGGCGGAGGAAAUCCUAAAAACUGGGCCCAGUUCGGACUGUAGGCUGCAACCCGCCUACACGAAGCCGGAAUCGCUAGUAAUGGCGCAUCAGCUACGGCGCCGUGAAUACGUUCCCGGGUCUUGUACACACCG